This 374-nucleotide ribosomal RNA is filed under the name Miomantis sp. MN196. RNAcentral describes it as "partial 12S ribosomal RNA". The record is from RNAcentral. Lineage: Eukaryota; Metazoa; Arthropoda; Insecta; Mantodea; Mantidae.
AUACCCUAUUAUUUUUAUUGUAAAGUUAAUUAAAACUAAAGUACUAAUAGAUAAAGUCUUAAAACUUAAAGAAUUUGGCGGUAUUAUAGUCUAUUUAGAGGAAUCUGUUAUGUAAUCGAUAGUCCACGUUGAACCUUACUUAUAUAAAUUCUUGUAUAUCGCUGUUUAGAAUAUAUUUUAAGAUAAUUAUCUUGAUAUUAAAGUAAUUAAUAUUUCAAGUCAAGGUGCAGUAAUAUAUAAGUUGAAUAAUGGAUUACAAUAAAGUUUAUUUAAAACGGACUAAUAAUUGAAAUAUUAUUUGAAGGUGGAUUUAAAAGUAAUUUUAUAAAGAUUAUUAAAAUGAUUUUUAGCUCUAUAAUAUGUACACAUCGCCC